CCAUGCAUGUCUCAGUAUAAGCUUUUGAUUUGUGAAACUGCAAAUGGCUCAUUAAAACAGUUAUAAUGCAUUUGACAAUUGCUCCUACAUGGAUAUCUGUGGAAAUUCUAUAGUUAAUACAUGCACUGAAAACCUAUCUUGGGGGAAAGGUUGUGGUCGUUGGUUGCAGAACCAAUUCAAGCAUUGCUUGUAUAUUUGAUUGAAUCGCAAUGACAAAAUGAAUUACAUGGCAACAGCUGGUAAUAAUUCAUGCCAGUUUCUGACCUAUCAGCUUUCGACGGUAAGGUAUUGGCUUACCGUGGCAAUGACAGGUGACGGAGGAUUAGGGUUUGAUUCCGGAGAGGGAGCUUGAGAAAUGGCUACCACAUCUAAGGAAGGCAGCAGGCGCGCAAAUUACCCAAUCCUGGCACAGGGAGGUAGUGACAAGAAAUAACAAUACAAGGCAUCCAUGUCUUGUACUUGGAAUGAUUGGACAUCAAACCUUUCUAUAAGUAUCAAUUGGAGGGCAAGUCUGGUGCCAGCAGCCGCGGUAAUUCCAGCUCCAAUAGCGUAUAUUAAAGUUGUUGCGGUUAAAAAGCUCGUAGUUGGAUUUCUGCUGAGGAUGGCUGGUCCGCCCUCUGGGUGAGUAUUUGGCACAGCCUGAGCAUUUAUCUUGAAAGCACAACUGCACUUGACUGUGUGGUGUGUUAUUGAGAACAUUUACUUUGAGGAAAUCAGAGUGUUUCAAGCAGGUGUUUGGCCUUGAAUACAUUAGCAUGGAAUAAUAAUUAAGAUCAUGAUUCUUUUUGUUGGUUUCUAGAAUUGAGGUAAUGAUUAAUAGGGAUAGUUGGGGGCAUUCGUAUUUGAUUGUCAGAGGUGAAAUU
This 863-nucleotide ribosomal RNA is filed under the name Alexandrium catenella. Its description in RNAcentral is "SSU rRNA". It matches the Rfam family "Eukaryotic small subunit ribosomal RNA", at positions 49 to 918 of the family's 1831-position model. The record is from RNAcentral. Lineage: Eukaryota; Dinophyceae; Gonyaulacales; Pyrocystaceae.